UUUUGCAGAAUUCUAUAUUGAAAUCAUGAAUCUGGUGGAAUGAAGUACAUUAAAAAUAGGGAUGUGAAUAAGGGUGAUUGAAGUAUACUGAAAUAGAGAUGUGAAUAAGGGUGGUUGAAGUAUACUGAAAUAGGGAUGUGAAUAAGGGUGGUUGAAGUACACUAAGAAUGGGGAUGUGAAUAAGGGUGGUUGAAGUAUACUAAAAUAGGGAUGUGAAUAAGGGUGGUUGAAGUACACUAAAAAUAGGGGUGUGAAUAAGGUGGUUGAAAUACACUAAAAAUAGGAGUGUGAAUAAGGGUGGUUGAAGUACACUAAAAAUGGGAUGUGAAUAAGGUGGUUGAAGUACACUAAAAAUAGGAGUGUGAAUAAGGGUGGUUGAAGUACACUAAAAAUGGGAUGUGAAUAAGGGUGGUUGAAGUACACUAAAAAUAGGGGUGUGAAUAAGGGUGGUUGAAGUACACUAAAAUAGGGAUGUGAAUAAGGGUGGUUGAAGUACACUAAAAAAGGGGAUGUGAAUAAGGGUGAUUGAACUAUAUUUAAAUAGGGAUGUGAAUAAGGGUGGUUGAAGUAUACUAAGAAUGGGGAUGUGAAUAAGGGUGGUUGAAGUAUACUAAAAUAGGGAUGUGAAUAAGGGUGGUUGAAGUACACUAAAAAUGGGAUGUGAAUAAGGGUGGUUGAAGUAUAUUUAAAUAGGGAUGUGAAUAAGGGUGGUUGAAGUAUAUUUAAAUAGGGAUGUGAAUAAGGGUGGUUGAAGUACACUAAAAAUAGGGAUGUGUAUAGGCUGUUUGAAGUAUACUAAAAAUAGGGACGUGAAUCACAAGGGUCAAAGCAUUUUUAAGUUGGACAGGACAUGAAUAAAGAGGAUUGAAGAGUCUGGAACAGGACUCUACCUUAAUAAAAAUGUUUGUCAAAUUAUAUUUGGUUUCCUUUGUUGUCUACUGUA
Long non-coding RNA from Xenia sp. Carnegie-2017, 943 nucleotides. RefSeq lists it as uncharacterized. NCBI's taxonomy places the organism in Eukaryota, Metazoa, Cnidaria, Anthozoa, Malacalcyonacea, Xeniidae. The transcript has 2 exons. The record is from RefSeq and is a predicted model, not a curated record.